CUUCUUCGGCCUGCUGAGGCGCAAUGAAGUGAAUAUGCGUAUCGAUGCCGCCGGCAGUGAGAAUUUUGCCCUCACCGGCGAUUACAUCAGUCGCAGGUCCAACGACAAUAUUGACGCCGGGCUGAAUAUCGGGAUUACCAGCCUUGCCGAUCCCCGAGAUACGGCCAUCCUUGAUGCCGACAUCGGCUUUGAUGAUACCCCAAUAGUCAAGAAUGAUGACAUUGGUGAUGACCAGAUCGGCUGUUUCGGCAGAGGGACGCUGUCCCUGCCCCAUCCCGUCGCGGAUG
This 287-nucleotide small RNA is filed under the name Brucella pecoris. RNAcentral's name for it is "Ochrobactrum pecoris 5' ureB small RNA". It matches the Rfam family "5' ureB small RNA". The record is from RNAcentral. Lineage: Bacteria; Pseudomonadati; Pseudomonadota; Alphaproteobacteria; Hyphomicrobiales; Brucellaceae.